Molecule: long non-coding RNA, 5545 nt
Filed under: Gossypium barbadense (sea-island cotton)
Lineage: Eukaryota; Viridiplantae; Streptophyta; Magnoliopsida; Malvales; Malvaceae
Description: long non-coding RNA (GBAR_LNC012924)
Source: RNAcentral
UGAUGACUAAAUUACAAAAUAUAUAAAAGUGGUAUAUGAAGUACAUGAUAAGGAUUAUUAGUAAAUUAUGGAUGAAUAGUGAAUUUUGAAAAAUAUUACAUGUAUUAAAGGUAGAGAAGACAUAAAUAAACGGAUUAUUGGUACAAGGAUUAAAUUGUAAAGCAUGUAAAAGCAUUAUGCGAAAGGUGUAAAAGUGAUAUGCGUGCAUGAAAUAAUUUGCCCAAGUAGGCAAGAUUAGAACUACUAGGAAAUUAAGGGACCUCAGCACAUUCAGCACAUUCGUACUCUCUGUAUAGCACUUCAGUGUUCUCUGUUUAAUAGUGCAUAAUAACACACCUCUGUAUAAGUCCCGUAUAUCCGAAGUGUUCUAUCUAGUCUACUGGGCCUCUGCUAAGUAAAAAGUAAACAAUUUUCGUUAUGAGGAAAAGAAUUAUCUCUGAGUAAAAAUGUUAUUUAUGAUGAAGCAGAACUCGUAAAAGUACAGAUAAAUGUUUUAAAGUACUUGAGAAUGAUAAAUGUUAUAUGAGUAAAUACAUGACAAUUAAAUUAUGAGGCUUUACGAUCUAUACCCCUUUACUAAUACAGUUAUAUGUAAUGAAAGUCAUGAGAUUUAUAUUGAUUAAGUUCAGAAGCGGAAAGUGAAAAGCUCAAUGGUUAAACAAUUGAUAAUGCAGUCGGAAUUGAGAAUGAGUUAAUAAGUAAAGAUGGGUUCUGAAUAAAGAUAUCAGAUUUUUCUUAAACUAGUUGAGAUAUACUAUAUCACUGUUAAAGAAAGAAGUUAUUUAUGGGAAAAUCGAUUUAUUUAAAUAUGGUAUUUACAGAAUAGUUAACUGAAAAUUUCUUCCGAAUUAGUUUUUUUUGAGUGAAGUAAAUAAUGUGAAAUUAUUGAUAACUAUACUAGUCAAUAGAUUGGUGAAUAAAUUGCAAAAAUAUUUGAAUAUAGCCGUUAUAACUGGGUAUAUUAUAGUAAUUUUUUUUUUGGAUUUUAUAUGGGUAUAUUAUAUAUACUGAUAUUUUCAGAGGCAUAUGGAACUGUUCAUGUUUGGAUGCUAUAAUCAAUAUAUGGAAAGGUUGGAUAAAUAUGCUAAUAGACAGAAAUUAUCGCAAGUCUGAUUAAUUCACAAGUGGUACUACUCUAUCUUUCUUCGGUUUUCCAAGCAAAUAUAUGUGAUAGAACACUUGAUAAUAAGAUUCAUAUGAUAUUAUUUUCUAUUUCUGUUGGUAGAAGCUCUGAAAGGCAAAUGUGAAAUAUUGUAUUGAAAAUAAAUUAUGAAAUGAAAGGAUAGAGAAUGGAUAUAAAUGAUAAACUGGGUAAAUAUGUACAGAAAGGAACUAUAGAACUACAGAAAUAAUGAAAUUCAUGAUCAAAAGAGAACAACGAAAUUUCGAGGACGAAAUUUAUUUAAGGGGGAGAGAAAUGUAAUACCUUAAAAAAUUUUACAGUAAGAUAUUAUCCUUGAUAUAGUAAAAUAAAUAAAUAAAGUGACAAAAAGGGAAAUUUUGAGUUAUGUCAAUAUUGAGAAGUAUAUUAUGAUAUAUUAAUUCAAGAAAGGACCUAAUUGUAAAAUUGAGAAAAGUUUUGUUGCACAAGAGUAAAUAUUCAUAAUUUGAGGGGUUAAAGUGUAAAUAUAAAAAAGUUGAAGGACCAAUAGUUUAAAUAAUUUAAGAGUGGAAUGAUCUAGAAACUAAGGAAAAUGGAUGAAUUAGGACCAAAUUGAAUAGAUGAAGAACUAUGAGGGACUAAAUUGCAAUUUUACCAAAUUAAAUGAUGACUCAAGGAUGGAAUUUUAAAAGAUAAUGAAGGGCAAAAUGGUCAAUUGGAAGAGAGAGAAAUCUAGAAAUAAUAAUGAUGCUAGAGAUAUUUUGAUAUUUUAUAAUUAUUUCAUUAGAUAAAUAUUAUUUUAUUAAUACUUUAAUAAGAUAUUUUAUUAUUACUUUAUUAGUAUAUAAAGAAAGAAAGAUGAGAAAUUCUCAUCCAUAUUUUCCCAUGCACUAACGUGAGAGAAAGAGAGGAAGAGAGAAAGUUUUGCUUUCUUUACAAUUUGGUCCUUUUACCAAAAAUUCACCAUUUUCACCCAAAAAUCAAAUGAAUUUCCAUAGCUACCAAGAGACAAAAAUGUUAAGAAGAGCAUGGGGAGUUAGAAUAUCAAUUUGGAUUCAAGAAAUAGAAGCUAGAGGAGAGAGAAAAUCAAGUUAAAUAUUAGUAUCAAUAGGACAAGGUAAGUAUAUCAAGAUUUCAAUAUGUUUUUAAGUUUGUUAUUAUUGACAAAGCAUGGAAAUAAUGUUAUAGUAGAGUUUUCUUACAUAAGGUCCUAUGUUUUUGAUAUGUUAGUGAAGAGAAAAUAAGAGAAAGUGAUGAGAAAUGGUGUAGAAAAAGAAAAUAAGGGUGGUAUAACAUGGUAAUUAAUUGCUUGCACAAAAACAGUUUGGACAGCAGCAGUAGACUAAUUUUGAAAAAUCACCAUAUAUUGUAGAAAUCGAAUUAGAAGAUGAAAAAAAUAUGGAAUUAAAGCUUAUUGAGUAUAGUUUCUCAUAGAAAAAUAGUGUAAGCAAUGGAUUUGUAAAUGUUGAGAUAUAAUGAAUUUUGUGAGACAAGGUCAGAAUGAAUCCGGGUUCCCCUGUUCUGACUUUGAAAAAUCAUAAAAUAUUGAAAAAAAUAAUUAGGGGCUUAAAUUUAUAUUUAUAAAAUCCUGAAUGAGUCUAUUUUUGAGAGAAACAAACAAGAACAUCAUUUGAAUCCUAUAUGAGGAGAUAAUUAAUUUUUGGUGAAGAGGGGUCAGCACUAUCAGACAGCAGAACAGGGGUAACUUUAAAGAAUAAACUGUACUUAUUGGCUAAACUAAAAAUUCUUAAAUUUUUAUGGUAAUAAUAUAUAUGAGUCUAGAUUCAGGGAAAAUUAUCGGAUAUUAAUUUGGAGUUCUAUAGAUCCAGAUAUAAAUAAUUUAGUGACUAUGAUGCAAAUAGACAGCUUGAAUAUUCAUAAAAGUAAAUAAUAAAAAUUAUGGAUAAUGUUACUUACAAGUGUGUUAUCUACAUUAAGGAUGUGGAAUGGAGAGGAGGAGGAGGAAAAAUAUGUAUGAAUAUUCAUCUAGCAUGGCUAAUUUGCAUAUUUUAGGCUCAGGGACUAAAUUGAGUAAAAGUAAAACUUUAUGGGCAAUUUUGUAAACAUGUCAAAAAUGACCAAAUUGCAUGAAAUGGAUUAUUUUAUUAUUUAAAUUACAAAAUUGAAUGAAAUUAUUAAUUCAGUUCAAGAUCAGGGGAAAACAUGUUUUAGGGAUUAAAUUGAAAAGUGUUGAAAUUAUGAAAAAUUCUGAUAUUUUAUAGAAUUCAUGGAUUUUUAUCAAUAUAUAUGAGAAUAAUAGCUGGAAAUAAGGAUUAAAUUGCAAGAAUUUUAUUUUCCUGACCUUAAGGAUGAAAUCGUCAUUAAUUAAAAGUUUAGGGGCAAAAUGGUAAUUUUGCCUAGAGCAUUAAUUAAAUGCAUUAGAAUAUGAAAUGAAUGAAAAUGAUGAUAAAAUUUAUUUAUAAAGAUCCGAACGACUCAAAUAUGAGACUUGAUCGUGGAAAAGAAAAGAUAUCAAAUUAAUGAAAUUAUAAACACAAACAAGCAAUGACGUAAGUUCGUGUAACUUGAAUUAUAUUCUUAAAUGCUUGAGAUUGCAUGUUAUUUAUGUGAAUAAGAUUUGAAUGUUCAUUGUAUGAAAAUUUAUGAAACAUUGAUAAAUUUGAUAAAAGGAGAAGAAAUCUCGGUUGAAUGAAAGGAAAAUUUUAUGGAUCUCUGAAAAGGAAUUGAUGGUAAAAAGGAUCUAGCCCGGACGGGUGAUCCUAUCCUGAUAUAGCCCUCCCGAAGAAUAUGUGUAAAACGGAUUUAGCCCGGACGGGUAAUCCAAAUUAGGGUCUGAAUUUAGCCUGGACUGGUAAUUCAGAUCCAGACUCAUUAGAGUAAUUGUCGUUGCAGGGGAUUUAGCCUGGACUGGUAAUCCCGACAAUACUCUAUGAGUUUAUAUUACAGGGGAUUUAGCCUAGACUGGUAAUCCUACUGUAAGGAUGAGGUUCUCGGGAGUGUGCUCUCUGAUAUGAAAUGUGUAAGACCAUGGUUGAAAGAUACCAUGGCAACCUGUGUCUAAGAACAUGGUUGAAAGAUGGUUGAAAGAUACCAUGGCAACCUGAUAUGAAAUGUGUAAGACCAUGGUUGAAAGAUACCAUGGCAACCUGAUAUGAGAUGUGUAAGACCAUGGUUGAAAGAAACCAUGGCAACGUGACAUGAAAAGAAUAAGACCAUGGUUGAAAGAUACCAUGGCAACAUGACAAAAAAUGAGUAAGACCAUAGUUGAAAGACACUAUGACAUCACGUCAAAGAUAAAUAAGACCGUGGAUGGGAUCAGGUAAAAUGUAUCAGAUGACGAAUGGUUAUAUGAAAUGGUUGUGUGAAAUGUUUACAAGAACUGGUCAUAUGGAAAUAUAUGUACAAAAGCGUUGUAUGAAAUAAUUAUGAAAAUGGAUAAAUGAAGUAAGUAUAAGUACAUGGAAUGUAAUUUAUGUUAAGUUUGAUAUAAGCUAUUACCAGAAUAAAUAUACAUAAAAUAUAUGGAAAUGAUGAAGCAUAAAAUAUUGAUAUAAUGAAAUGAAUGAUAUAUGCUUGUGAAGAAACGGUAAGAGCAUGAUAUGUUUCAUGACAUGUACAUAUAUGAUUGAUUAUCUUUGAUAUGUUGAUACAAGGAAAUUAUGUAACUGAGUCUAUUAUUAAACUCAAGUGCGACAUGUCGAGAAAAUAGAUAUACCAAUGUUGAAUUUAUAUGAGAUAUGUGCAAGUAUACUAACAAUGUUGUUGUUUGAUGCUUAUACAAGUUCCAAACUGUUGAUUGAAUGGUAAUAUAUUUAUUUUAUAUGAUGCAUUGAAUCGGUAAGUAUUUUAAUUUUUUUAAAUGAUCUGCAAAUGGUAGUAAUGCUCCGAAACCCUGUUCUGGCAGCGGAUACGGGUUAAGGGUGUUAUAUUUAGUGGUUUCAGAGCUACGGUUUAGUCGGUUCUCGGACUAAACGUAGUAUAUGUGAAGUCUAAAAACACAUGUCAUUAUAAUAUAUGAUAGUAUGAUAUCUCCCGACUCUGAUGAGAUUUAUUUUACUUAUAAAAUUAGAUGCUUUCUAACCCAAGAUAAUUCUGAUAAUGCUAAAAACGAUACUCAGGUAUAUGAGUACAUAGUUGAUUAGAAUGAAUCGGAAUUCAUAAAGGUAUGAAUAAAUACAUGUCGAUGAUGAAUGUUAUGUGUAUUAUUAAAAGUAAAUUAUAUUGCUACACGUAAUAUUGUGCUGAUGACUAAAUUACAAAAUAUAAUAAAGUGGUAUAUGAAGUACAUGAUAAGGAUUAUUAGUAAAUUAUGGAUGAAUAGUGAAUUUUGAAAAAUAUUACAUGUAUUAAAGGUAGAGAAGACAUAAAUAAACAGAUUAUUGGUACAAGGAUUAAAUUGUAAAGCCUGUAAAAGCAUUAUGCAAAAGGUGUAAAAGUGAUAUGCGUGCAUGAAAUAAUUUGCCCAAGUAGACAAGAUUAGAA